This 254-nucleotide ribosomal RNA is filed under the name uncultured bacterium. Its description in RNAcentral is "partial 16S ribosomal RNA". It matches the Rfam family "Bacterial small subunit ribosomal RNA", at positions 524 to 776 of the family's 1533-position model. The record is from RNAcentral.
UACGGAGGGUGCUAGCGUUGUUCGGAAUUACUGGGCGUAAAGGGCGCGCAGGCGGCUGCUCAAGUCAGGCGUGAAAGGCCUGGGCUCAACCCGGGAAUUGCGCUUGAGACUGGGCUGGCUUGAGUGCGGGAGAGGAUGGUGGAAUUCCCAGUGUAGAGGUGAAAUUCGUAGAUAUCGGAAGGAACAUCGGUGGCGAAAGCGGCGCGCUGGACCUCUUCUGACGCUGAGGCGCGAAAGCCAGGGGAGCGAACGGG